This 635-nucleotide ribosomal RNA is filed under the name Chaetothyriales sp. A536. RNAcentral's name for it is "SSU rRNA". It matches the Rfam family "Eukaryotic small subunit ribosomal RNA", at positions 149 to 794 of the family's 1831-position model. Lineage: Eukaryota; Fungi; Ascomycota; Eurotiomycetes; Chaetothyriales. The record is from RNAcentral.
GUGGUAAUUCUAGAGCUAAUACAUGCUAAAAACCUCGACUUCGGAAGGGGUGUAUUUAUUAGAUAAAAAACCAAUGCCCUUCGGGGCUCCUUGGUGAAUCAUAAUAACUUAACGAAUCGCAUGGCCUUGCGCCGGCGAUGGUUCAUUCAAAUUUCUGCCCUAUCAACUUUCGAUGGUAAGAUAGAGGCUUACCAUGGUCUUAACGGGUAACGGGGAAUUAGGGUUCUAUUCCGGAGAGGGAGCCUGAGAAACGGCUACCACAUCCAAGGAAGGCAGCAGGCGCGCAAAUUACCCAAUCCCGACACGGGGAGGUAGUGACAAUAAAUACUGAUACGGGGCUCUUUUGGGUCUCGUAAUUGGAAUGAGUACAAUCUAAAUCCCUUAACGAGGAACAAUUGGAGGGCAAGUCUGGUGCCAGCAGCCGCGGUAAUUCCAGCUCCAAUAGCGUAUAUUAAAGUUGUUGCCGUUAAAAAGCUCGUAGUUGAACCUUGGGCCUGGCUGACCUGUCCUCCUAAUCGAGCGCACGGGUUCGGUCGGGCCUUUCCUUCUAGGGAACCCCAUGCCCUUCACUGGGUGUGGUGGGGAACUAGGACUUUUACCUUGAAAAAAUUAGAGUGUUCAAAGCAGGCCUUUGC